Molecule: long non-coding RNA, 9467 nt
Organism: Oncorhynchus tshawytscha (Chinook salmon)
Lineage: Eukaryota; Metazoa; Chordata; Actinopteri; Salmoniformes; Salmonidae
Source: Ensembl
AAUGUACUGUGAUGUAAUGCAAUAGCCCAGUUGUUAAUAGUAAACAUUGAACUGCUCACCAAAACAUUGCCACGUUUCCUCACGUGGAUUUGCAUCCAACAUUAUCAUUCUGUAAAUCUAUUGUGGUACAGAAAUCAAACAGUCUGAUCCAUUUCAACUGCGAUAUUUCCUCAAUGAAAUGACCUCAUUCUGGAGGUGUUGUUAACACUGGAGUAAUGUUACUGCUGUAAUUGAUUCCACUGCCCCAGUAGAACCGUGCUCAGUACUGUUAGAGCAGCAGCUGGUAGAAACUUUACUGAAACAGCAGCUACAUUGGACCGGCUGCUACACAGUUUCUUAUGCAUCUGUUACUUUCAUUAGUUUCACUGGUGAGAGUGUGUCUGGGAUCAGUCCUGUUCUGUGUCCCAGCCCUCUGUACUGUAAUGAAGCCACGUCAGGUUGAGAGAACGGGAGUGUAUCUGCCAAGACAGUGAGUGAUUGAGGCUUUGUUAGUGUCCUAGGGAGACACAGGCACAGGGUGUGUGUUACUAGAUAGAGAAAGAGUAUGAAGAGUGUGUGCGUGUUAAGAGGUGUGCGUUAUGAUGCAGCGACAGCAAACAGGGAGUGUGUGUGACCAAAGUAGAGGAAAAGCACAUGGAGAAUGUGUAAAGGAGAGUGAGAGAGUGUGAGGAGCGGCGAUUAGGUGCGCCGGGUUCGGCUGGAGACAGAAAACCCUCUCACCGUCUUCUCGCCCCAGUCUAUGCCGGUAAAGGCACUGUGAUGUUGCACAGAGUUGUCCUCAGCCUCGUUGGCGGUGGGCAAAGGCCCCUACAUCACCAGGCUAGCGCCUGGCUCGCCCGCUCUUGGCUUGGCACACAGGAAUAAUAAAAGUGAGUGGCCCAGGCUGUAGGAUAUGUGAAGGGUGUUAGCAGCUAGCAGACCUCUCCUCCUCAGAGGACCACAGCAGGCAGAGGGGGAGCUCAGGUAUGUAAGAGCCCAUGGCCCCAGACUCACACAGGCUGGUGGUGCUGGUCAAGGGCACAGAGGGGGAAAGGAGAAUUUACUUGUAUUGUUACGCUUCACCAGAUUCCGGUGAGACACCGUGAGGUGAGUUUAGCGCUGAUGGAAUAUCAUAUCUGUUUGUCUUGUUCUUACUUAUUGAAAACCAUCUACUUUACAUUCAGUCACUGUGUUUAUUUGUGUGUUUAUAUGUUUAAUUAUACAAUAAUAUAUCAAAUCACAUUUUAUUGGUCACAUACACGGGUUUAACAGAUGUUAUUGCGGGUGUAGCGAAAUGCUUGUAUAUAUGUAAGAUAUGAAGGUAUGUAUUAGAGCCUCUGUAUUAGCUUCUGAUUCAGGUUUUUGCAUACAAAGGUGACUAAACACCAGCUAAAUGCUACUGAAGUUGGAUGAUGAAUUGGCAAUCGACAAUAUAGUCUGCAAAAUAAUGUUUUUGUAAUAGUGUACAGGUGUAAAUCUUAAUUUGAUCACCCUGUUGCAGGCUUUCCUGCAAUGUUUAUUUAAGGUUUAAAAAGGCUUCUCACAAUUUCUAACUUGAUUGUUCUAUACUAAAAAUGUAUAAACUCCUACAAAAAUGGCCAUUAAUUCUAAUCCACAUAAUAAUUAAAAUGUCCUGUUGGUGCAGGAUUAUUUUCCUGGUGUAGCAAACUGGCUAAAAUUAAGAUCUGACAUCUGUAAGUAAUUUCGUAAAAUUACUUAAAUAUUUCCCUGAAAACACAUGGUAAAAUAGUUGAAUUACUAUUCUCCGACAUACUCAAUGCAUAAAAACCAUAACAAGAUGACAUUAAUCUUCAUGACUCUUGAAUCUUGUAAGUUAUUCCCACAUGCUUUGGCCUUGACUUCUCAUUCAAAACUUCAAAUUUAUGAAAAGCAUCUCUGUGUAAAGAAAGCAUCAAUACAAUAAUCUCACUGCUCAUUGUUUAAUGACCAUAGCAUAUUGGUUUGCUGGAAUUUCACAGAUGACUACAUUCAGAUAUACAGAUGUAGAGGUUAAAGUGUUAAAUGUUACUGAUAAAGGUUCAUACCUCUUCAAUUAGAAGUCAAUAUAUAUCAUUUGCAGCCUUGCUUACUGUGUCAAAUGAUACUGUGCAGUUCAUUUUCAUAAAUUCAAUGAUUAUUUUCUACGUGUUAAUGUUUUAUUUAAAUUAAAGAGAGUGUUACUUGUUGCUUAACAGGUGCAUUGGAAGAGUGAAACAGUUAUUCAAAGAAAAUAAGUUGGCGUGGAAGUAAAUGACUGAUACUUUGCCAGAGUGGUGUGUGCGAGCUUAUUUCCUUUGAAUACAUGUUUUAUUGGAAAAAUAUGCUAUUUCAAAAUCCUUUCAAUAUAAUUUACGUAUAAAUAAUUUGUUCCCAUCUUUUUUGAAAUUCUGAUCAUGGGAAAAUGCUUAACCUUGUUGGCAGACAUUACUUAUUUUAGCUUAAAAAAAAUGUAAAUCACAAUGUUUGAUUGUAGAUGAAGGACUUGCUAUAUGGCAGUUUAUUAUUGCAUCAUUUGUUACAAUUACACGCAGAUGCACCUGAUUUUAAUUCGACAUGUGGUUGACAAAUUUCGACAGAUUCUUUGGAAUAGCCCAAUUUAGGUUUGAAGUGAUUUCUUCUUACCCGGUUGAUAUUCAUUCUUGAUUUGUAAUAUCAGUUGUUAUCUAAUCAAUGCACUUCCAAUGAUGUAUUCAUUCUAUAUUAAUCAUAUAGUACCCCCUUGUAUAUAGCCUCACUAUUGUUAUUUUACUGCUGCCAUUACAUUUUUUGUUUACUUCUAUUUUCAAUUUUUUACUUAUCAAAUUUUUUACCCAACACUUAUUUUUAUUAAAACUUCUUGAAGCAUGGUUGGUUACGAGCUUGUAAGUCAGCAUUUCACUGCAAGGUCUAAACCUGUUGUAUUCGGGGCAUGUGACAAAUACAAUUUGAUUUGAUUUGAAAUGUAAGCUCUUUGUGGUAAAAAGUUCCACCUUUUUCUAUUGAGGUAUGUAUGCAACAUAUUUUGUGACAGUAACUAAUUCAUUGUAUUAUUCAUUGCUAUAGCUACAGAGUUAUUUGUUAUGUAUUGAUAUUCUUUCCAAAGGCCCUUCAUUAUACAUAUAUUGAAAAUGGUAUUGUCAUUAGAAAGACAUUAUAUCUUCUAUUUUCAAUUCAAAUGAAUACUUGACUUUUAUAAUGUUAAGUUGAGCUGUGAACCCAUUUCUAAAAAGAAAACACAUGUGACGAAUAGAACAUAUUUCACAAAUACAAUUUUCUUUAAGAUUGUACAAUAUUCAAGUGUAAAUGUGUACAAAAAAGCCAAUUCUUAAUUCUUAAACAUCACCAUCUCAGAAAUUGAUUUUCUCAUACACAUAAUAAUCACAUUUCAUAUUUGUUUUUCAGAAGAAAAUGGUAUCAUUACAUUAUGAGGUACACCCAAUGAAAUGAAACCAUGCUUGUUUAGUUUCAAUAAUGAAUAUGUAGGUGUAAUCAGUCAGGAGAUAUAGGGUUAAGUCAGCUUCCACUUUUUCACAUUGACACAAUUAAUUUACGUCACCCACUCAAUACAUACGUAAUAAUUGAAAAUGUGUGAAUAAGCAUGUGCUGUUGAAAGGGUCUAUCUAUCAUAUCGUGUAAUAUUAUCCAUGAUAUCCACACUGCGCAUGUCUUCUGUCCACCAUUUUGUGAUCAGAACUUUAUCUAAAUGCUCCCAUUUUAUGAAGUGCCGUGGAACACUUGCAGCUCAGUAACACGGAGGAUCAAUUUGAGGGAAUCUAUUGUUGUGUAUGGUGUAAAUAAAUUCCUUGGCUCAUGAUCAUUGUGAAAUUAAAUGUCAAAGAUACACAUUUGCUAAUCAUACAUAAAACAAAGACUUGAAAUGAAACAAAAUGCCCGGUAUAAAGUUCAAAGGUUUCUUAUAUUUUGUUUCUCAUGGCAAUACUACUAUUAAGUAUUACUGUUUGUAAUUCAGAAUUGAUACUCAGUAAUUCAUUAUAGUGAUUGUAAAAACUUUUUUCAAGCAACGUUGCACCCAUCCCUACCACCGUCUUGUUGUGUGUGUGUGUGUGUGUGUGUGUGUGUGUGUGUGUGUGUGGUGUGUGUGUGUGUGUGUGCGUGCGUGCAUGUGUUAUUCUUACACAUAGACAGAGAGGGAGAGUGGCGGUCGCAGUCAGCUGCCUGAGGUGACGGGCCAGAGGUCAGGGGUGUUAAUAAGACGUGAUGUGUAGACCCUGUGAGUGACGUCCCUCGGGGAUAAUCCCCUAUUCAGCAUUAGUUAAUGUGUUAGUCAUCUUUACCUUCUUAAAGCAAACAGCACUGGGUUCCUCAUUGGGCCUCCCGUAUAACACUUUUGACCCCCGGGUCAUGGCCUUUGUUCCCUGCUCGAUGGGGAGUGCCCUCAGAGGUCAGGUGUAAUAGAGAAGUUGUUUAGACACGUGCCGGGUUGAAGCAAGACCACCUCAUAGACUCACUCGGCCCCUGUUCCUAGAGAGGGAGUCCAAGUCUUUCAUCCCUGUGUACGUAGGGCCAUCCGGCCUUGUGGGUUGGUGCUAUCCUCCUGAUUAGCUUCCUUUAAAACAGGGUCCCUAAUACAUUCAGUCACAGGCCAAUUUUUCCUUGAGUGGAUGGUCAGGUGGGGGGAACAUGUUUACAAAUCAUUUGUAGACUGCAAAUUGACCGCAAUAAUCCCAAACAGACAUAGUAUUUGACAAAAACAGAAUCAUUUCAAACCUUGAUAACAUUGGGAUACGAUCACAUACUGUAUGCCUCUGUUUAUGCGUGGGAAUACUUGGGAACAGAUUUUCUCAAUUAAAAUCACUUUAAGCUGAUGUCCUGGUGAUUUUACAGUCUUUUAUGUCCAACAAUGAAAAUUAUAUAAAUUAUAUAAUUUUUAUUUUGUAUUAUUAUUUUUAUUAUUUUUGAUCAGAAAAAUAAAAUAAAAUCACCCGAAGGCCGAAGUUGGCCCGCAGGCCACCUGUUUUGGAACCCUGCUAUAGAAUAUCAAUUGUUUCUGUCUGAUGUGUCAGCUGUAUGUGCCUGGUAUCCUGAUGCAUUGCAGUUUCUGAUCCUGCACAGUCAGAAAUCUGGCUUGUACUCCUGUUGGUGGUUAAUGGGUAAAGGAGUGUAGAUCAUGUUUGCCUAUGCGGCGCUACUGCCCACUGCAAUUUCAUAUUCCUCAGCCUUCCUUUCCUGGCUGUUUCCUGUGUUUCUAGACACUAAAGACAAGCAAACAGGCUCCUAAACAUGUGUCCUCGACUCUCCUUAUGUGACCUACAUGGAAUACCAAGUGUUAGGUAUGACAGCUUUGAAAAUACAGAGACCUUGUGACUGUUACUCUGUGAUUCCAAAUUAUGUCUAAAAAUGAUGGAGCACAAAACGUUUUAAAGUGAGGCAAAAAAAAGACAUUUCAAUGAGAUAAAUCAGAGAAUGCCAUGAUUAUGCCCCCUGUGCAGAAAAUAAAGACGUAGUGUUGUACAUAGAUCUAUCUUGUCGUUCUUUUGCAAAGAUAAUAUGUUGCAUUUAGUUUGAUCUUCCCUUGACUGACCCUUUUAUUUAGUUCAUUACUCAUAACACAUGAGAAAAGCAAGAAGUGAGAAUCCACAGCCUACAUUUUGCAUGAUCAGGAAUUCUUAUUAUCCCAAAAUAAACAUUUGAUGUAUUACAUAUUUUUUGUUUACCAUGAUAAGAUCCAACAUGCAUACUAACAAAACUUGUAAUUUUCUGAUGGACCAGUUGGAGAAAAUUAUAUUUGCAUGAUCUGUUUUUACCAUAUAUAUUAUACAUAGUGGUUAACAUUGAAUGUAUUUAUUAAUCUGUACAGCAACUACAUAUGAAAUUGUUGGAUACUAUUUUAGUUGUUUUGUCAUAGAUUUUAAGUUAUCUAAGACCACAUAGCAAUUUUCAUAUUGAUUGUGCUUAAUUUUUUCUGUUGAAUUAUAAGUUUGUUAUUCCAAAUACUUCCUUACAAAUGUAUAACCAUCUUGUCAAUUUAAGGGUUAAAAGACAGAAACUAAAUGUGUGAGGAUUUUUCCUGGAGUCAUUGUAGUUCACUUUUGACAAAAUGUGUAGUACGGGAAUACAUUUUAUUAAGCAAGGUUAAGUUUUGAAUGUAUCACAAUACGUUCCAAUUCCGAAUGAAGCCUGCAAAUGACAUGGCAGCGUCCGCCAUUUUAAUGAACAUUUCCUCGAAUAGGACUGAAUGACUGAAUCGGUAUUCACGUGUCGAUAGCUAAGCCACAUUUACUGACGUGUUAGUUAACUUCCGACUCUGAUCAUUCUCUCCUUCACCAUCCACUGUAGUGAGUUAUGUGGAUUUGUAGCAUUUCAAAACCAGGAACAUAGCUUUGACUAACAGGUUGGAUAUUUACUUUAAAUUUUAUUAACCAUUUCAUCUUGUGAUUUUAUCUAAAGAUUCUAAGAGUUAAUGCUGAUUCAGAUACAAAGCAUUCCAUAGCAUAUCGUAAUUAUUAACAAUAGGGUUAAGAAAUCCCUUCAAAUAUACUAAAGAAGGAAUAGUUACAUUUACCUCCCUGUCCUCCCUCUAAGCUUUUUUUCUGCAGUACUAGGACAUGUUUUUUCAAUGGUAUUGUUGUAAAGUUCUUAUACACACCCGUGUAAGAAAGCAUUCCUUAAAAAAUAUCUAAGUUAAAAAAAUAAUAAAACGUGCCAUCUUAAAAUGGCUUAAUUUAUUAUUUGAAAUGUGUUUAAAGAAAGCAUGGUUAAAGUAAUUUAUAAUUCUAAAACACAACUUAAAAUAUAACAAUUACAUAUAUAAUUACAUAUAUAAAUACAUUUUUAAAUAUAAUUCAUUACAGACAAAUGCAACCAGAGUAGAGAAGAGGGGAACGAGGUAGAGGCAUGCAGUCGUAAAAGUUGGCAUCCUCCCAAAACCAAAACCCUAUCCUCAAGUGAACUUCUUGCAAAUGCUGUGCUACGUGCACACUAAGCUAAAUUAUUACUACAGACCGUUCCAAACCAACAACUAAAACAAAUUCAUAGUUCCAUGUCCAUUUUCCCUACUGUCUGUCCUCUACUGAAACUGAGCAGGAUUGUGCAUACAAAAAUACAUAUUCUUAAUAUAUAUCUACAUUAUCCACAAACUGUAUGUUUAUACCUAUAUGUUUCAACGCAAAGACGUGAGUUUUUCAAUUGGUUAAAACACAUGGCGAGAUGUGACGUGAGGCUGCGGUGCUUUGGAUUGGGUUCUAGGGUUUUAGGGUUCUAGCUCAUUCCAAUGCAGACACAUCCAACCCAUUUUGUGUCAUUUUUAAAAAAGAAGACUAGAGAGACUGUUAAUAACGCCCGAACUUGGUUGCACCAUGUCUUCAGUAAGUAAAUACAAACAAUGUUUUUUCCCUCUGCAGGUCCAUUGAAUGUGGCCACCUGUGUCUUAUUGAACCUUGUCAUGAAGAGAGGAGGAGAGGAGAGAGUCCUCGGAGUGAGCUAGCGGAGGAGCCUCCAGUCGGUCCGGUGUUGCUGUGCUGUUCUAACGAGGGAGAGAGAAAAAGCCAGCGAUGAAAGGAACUGGGUGGCUGCGUUAGGAAAAGUACCCCUCACAGACUCACUCCGCAGACAAGACGGGAACCCUGCAGCAGCAGCCAUGUUGGGUAGUUUUGUCUGAGCUAACCUAACAGCAUAAAUGUCCUCCACAAACCAACAGAAGGUUACACAGUAAAAGCAGCAAAAUGAGAGUUUUCCCCACCUUUCCGUUCUGCUAGGCAUGCAGUCCCCUGCUCUCCUCCUUUACUUCUCAUGUGGCAUUAAAGACACAAGGCAUCAAAAUAAGUCCUCAAGAGGAGACAGAGAUUUUACACUUUUCCUUUUUCUGGCUUUCUCUCUUUUUAGACCUUCUGAUACUUCGGGGAGAGAGAGGGGGAGACGCGUGAGCCCAGCCUUUGCCGUUUUUUGUAACCAGAGCCAAAAGAGGCAGGAAGUUGUUUUACAAUAGCCUUACAGUAAUCUGCCACAAGUGGAAAAAGCCAAAUGCUGGUCGCAGAGUGGAGAAGGUGGCGGGAAAGAGAGAGAGAGAAGCGGGGAGAGAGGAAGGGAGAGAAGGAGCAUAAAAAAAACUGAGAUAGGCAGACACGUGAAUCAAAAGAAUAAUCAGUAUGAACUAAGAUGGAGGACUAGUCUGCCAUGUUGUUUUGUAGUCCUGUAGUACAUAAUUGUGUGUGUGUGUGUGUGUGUGUGUGUGUGUGUGUGUGUGUGUGUGUGUGUGUGUGUGUGUGUGUGUGUGUGUGUGUGUGUGUGUGUGUGUGUGUGUGUGUGUGCGCGCAAACAGGAGGGUUUAGGGAGGGUGGAGCGCGUCACGAUGCAGGACUCUAGACGAUUCUAGGGUAAGGGAUACAUUAGACCCAAAUACACUCAACAAUCCUUUCCUUUUGGUUUUAAAUAUGAUAUGUUUUUAGUCAGUACAGCUGUAGUUCCUGGGUUAUUUGGAUAAGCUAUCCUCUGCCUUUAUAUCCAGGACAAAUCAGAACCACUCGUGUUUUCUGUGAAUUCCCAAUCACAUUGUAAUCACGGCAGCUGUUUUUCUUCCAGAACAGAAUGGUUAUCAGGCUUUUGACUCCUUGCCAAAAUAGCUGUAAGGGUCGUGCAAUGUUUAGCCCCUCAGAGUGAUCGAGUCAGGGCAGGAGGAGGAGGGUCUUGCUGUACUCUAACUCUACAAACCCUGCUCCUACCCUGCCACGUGCUACACUACAGUACGCAAGUAUACGCAACUAGCUUAUGUUUUUUGUCUUCUCCAUGCUGCUUCCACGCUAGCUGCUGUGGCAUGCUAAAGAGUUAAUACUCUGUCUUUGAGUUGUGGCUGGCUGCAGAAUGUGAUCUAGAAAGGCUGUUGCAGCUUGAUGACAGAGAGAGCGCUACAGUACUGUAAUGUACUGUACCAGAUAAGGUUAAUCAUUUAACCUGCUAUCAGAACUGUUGCAUAUUUCAAGUUCCUUAUCCACUCUGUGUUUGUCUGUUGAUCUCUUUUCUCUCGCUUUUCUCCCUCUCUUUUCUCUCUCUUUCUCUUUUCUCCCUCUCUUUCCUCUCUCUUUUCUCUCUCCUCUCUUUUCUCUCUUUUCUCUAUCUCUUUGUCUCUCUCUCGUUUAUCUCUCUCUCCUUCUCUCUCUAUUUUCUCUCUUAUUUCUGCUCUUCUCUGUUGAUUGCCGGGGUGUAGCGUGUGCUAGUAUGGCGUGAGUGUGUGCACUGCGUCUGCGCACUGCUGGAGGAGUGGAUUUCUGUGUCAUUCUUCCUCCUCUACCCCCUCCCACCCGUGCCUGCUUUCCGCCCUCCCACUCUCUCUCCCCUCUCUCUCUCUCUUUCCUUCUCGGCCUCCAUCUCCCUUCCUUCAUUCUCUCUCUCUCCCUCUCAAGUGCAAAUACAGUUCCUUGCCGUGUUGGACGUGUGAUCAAGAAGUGUCUGGCUUUCGCGCUCCGCCGCACCUCCUAUUUCAUCAUCACUUGAGCUUUUCUCUCCUUCACUCUGCGCUUGCUAUCUCCUCUCCUCUCCUCUCCUCUCCUCUCCUC